Molecule: non-coding RNA, 1551 nt
Organism: Heterocephalus glaber (naked mole-rat)
Lineage: Eukaryota; Metazoa; Chordata; Mammalia; Rodentia; Bathyergidae
Source: RefSeq, a predicted model, not a curated record
UUUGCACUGACUUUAGGGAGCCAGCCGCUUCCCGUGUUAGCACUCGGGUGCCAGGUGGCCAAAAACACGGGGCAAAGGUUUUCCUAGUUAAGUCGUGGUAUCCACAGCUGUAGCUCUGAGGAAGGAACAGGGCCAUUUGCGGCACUUCGUGCUGUGUGAAGGCAAGAUUUGCCCUCCAACUCUCGAACUCCCUUCUAUCCUGGGGGUGAGGGCGGGGAGCCUGCUCUUUCUCUCUCCCAAGCUUUAGUAGGAGAGGGAGAAGAGUGUGGGGCCCAGGCCUGGCCCAAGACCCGCUGAGGCAGGGCUGGUGAGGGUCUUGGUAACAGUCGCCGCAGGGUAAUUCGCAGCCUGUACUACAAGGACCCUGAGCAUUCCCCGGGCGGUACCUGAGCAGAUUAGGCCGAACAAACAACUUUCAUAUAGCCUCUGUCACAUUGGGCUAUAUUCCAAGGAUGAAGCCUGUGGUGUUCAAAUGUGGAAAUGGAGCUACAGAGAGCUAACUUUUUAAAUCCCUUGGUGCCCUAUCAUUGAUCCCUACACUGGAGAUUAACAUGGCAGGUCCCUGACUUUAGUCAUUUCCAUUUCACCCCUGUUGAGAUUCUGUCUCAUGAGUAACCUGACAGCCAGCUAGGCCCAACACAGUUUCAUGGGCUCACCACAUGUGAUCUUUUUGUCAUCAAGGGCCAGGCAAGUACCAUGACUUAAACAACAAAUUCUUCUGUAUUGGACAGGCUUUCUAGUCUGAGGACCAGAAGGGUGGGCUGAAUAGCCAUGUGCUGUAGUGUCUCUCCCUCUUUCCCAGCUGUCUGGCCAUGACUGAGGGACAGAUCUAAAGACUAACUAGGGAUGUUGCUAGCAUUGUAUGUAGCAUGUUAGGCAACAAUGAACUGGGCCACUUGGCUUCUCUCUCGGUGCAGUGUAAAUUAAAGAACAUACAAAUUAUUAGUCAAGGCUGCUGAAAAAAAAAGUUUUCAGUGUAGGACUGCAGAGGCCUUGUGAGAAGGUGAUUAAAGUUAUUUACAAAUACUUGGACUCACACCCAGUGUCUUGGUAGGAUUGUACAUCCCUAUCCAAUUAAGUUAGGUCUGGCCACUUUACCUGCUUGGAUCAGGGAGAUGUGAACAGCAGUGAAUUAUAGUGGGCACCUGGAGUUAGCAUAUGCUUCUCCAUAUUCACUUGUGACGACUACGGCUUCUCUGUCAUUCUGGGUUCCCAAGUUGUGCCUCCUUUCCCCACAACUAACUGUGGUGGACAUGUAGCAAGAGAAAGAUAUAAAAUUCUGUUAUUUUAGGCCAUUGAGAUAUAGGGGUAAUCUGCUACUGAUACAGACUAAUACACUACAAUAGGUCAUCUCAGCUAUGAGCAAAGGGAGAAGUGUGGGCAUGGAGCUAGGAAGAUGGAGCAGACCCAUCAAGGUGAAAUGAGCAAGUCUGUGUUGUUGGAGAGUGAAAAAGCUGGCCAAAUCAUCUGCACAAUGUCCCUUGCCCAGCAGUUCUGUGUGAAAACCAAAAUCAUGCUUGGAAUUUCCAGAUUUCUCCAGUGCUUGCGGUA